Molecule: ribosomal RNA, 253 nt
Filed under: uncultured bacterium
Lineage: Bacteria
Description: partial 16S ribosomal RNA
Rfam family: Bacterial small subunit ribosomal RNA
Source: RNAcentral
CACGUAGGGGGCAAGCGUUGUCCGGAAUUAUUGGGCGUAAAGAGCGUGUAGGCGGCCAGAUAAGUCCGCUGUGAAAUCUCGAGGCUCAACUUCGAGCUGUCGGUGGAAACUAUCUGGCUAGAGUCCGGAAGAGGAGAAUGGAAUUCCUGGUGUAGCGGUGAAAUGCGCAGAUAUCAGGAAGAACACCCGUGGCGAAGGCGGUUCUCUGGGACGGUACUGACGCUGAGACGCGAAAGCGUGGGGAGCGAACAGG